GAAAGGAAUUGUCUGUCAUUUGUUUUUUUAUCCUCCAUAUAGUGGCCAUUCAACCUACUUUUCUUAAAUGAAAUCAUGUUCUUUUCUUAACGGAACCACACAAAAUACAGUUGACUGCUGAGUGGCAAAUAAUGAAUAAUGCAAUGUCUUUCUUUAAAUAAACUUGUGUUUUUCAACAUUUGAAUUUUUAUAUAUUCAAGUAUAAGUAAUAUAUUUAUUUUUACUUUGAAAUUUUUAAACCAUCUAGAGUUAGAAAUAUUGGUUGGAACCUGGUCUUUAUUAAUGGUGGCCUAAAGUAAAAAGUAUGUAAACCCACAGAAGCAAUAGUUACCCAGUUAUUUGCCUAUUUGUCCUGUUUGUAUUUGUUGAAAAUAUCUCCUGAAUGAGGAAAGAUAAAAAGUGGGGCAAAAAUGUGAGAUUUGAUUUUGUUACUAAUUAGGAUAUCCCAAAUUAGUUUUAAAAAUUGAUAUUUAGGGGUUGAGGUGGCUCUGAAUUAUUUGCAUGUUUCUAAUAAAAGAUUAUUUUAAAAACAAAUUGUCCACAAGUGAAUGAAAUAUUGUUUAAGAGACUGGAUAAAAAAUAAUAUUUACAAGACUGGAAAAUAAUGAGGUAGGUCUUGAAUAGACCUGUCACUUUAUAAUUAUACUUAUGCAUAUUUUAAUUAAUUUUUCUUCUCACCAGCUAUGAUGAUAAUCUCAGUGUUAUUUUGAAUGCUGCUAUUUUUGUUACAUAAAUACAUUUUAUAUCAUUGUAUCAAAUAAAAUGAUGGACUAAGUGAAUAUUAUUCAAACAUUUUCCAAAGCUGGUGGUUUGUAAGUAUGCUUAAAAGUAUGUAAUUCGAGGAUUCUAUUUCAAUAGCACAUAUUUAAACUCAACAUAUUAAAGUUUUCUGAGAUAUUUUAAAGUUUAGUUUGGCCAAAAAACCUAUUAUCAUUUAGAUAAGAAAUCAGUUAAGAUUUUUAAAAGUAAAUUCUUUAAAAAAAACUGUCAUAUUAUUAUGUAAAAUAAAAAUAAAAGUUAUUUUAAAAAAUUCACCCGUGUAGUAUACAUUGCUAAACAUGACUCAGUACAAUACUGAAUUUCAGCUUAAAUUCAUUUUGAUGGUUUGAAGAUAGUACGAUGUUUUAAAAACCCAUGAUAUUUAGGAAUCGCUUGUUUCUUUAUAGAUGCAUUUUAAAUCUAUGGGUGAUUUCAGUAAGAUUUCAAAUUAAAAUACUUAAAUAAGAUCAUUACGAUCUUUAUAUUUUAUAUUCAGAUCUGCUAUGAGGCAAUAAUAAAUACUUUCUGUCCUAAGCACACUGAUACUCUAAAUUGCAGAUUUUAAAUGUCAUUCACUCUGAAAUAUUCAAUUGAAAGAGGAAUGUAAUUGACAUAUAAUAUGUAAAUAAGUUUUAUUUGGCUAUAGAAUACAUUAAUUCAUGCCUUUUUGAUUUAUCUUCAUUAUGCUUUCAAUAACAAAUGUUUAUUGCUUCUGCUUAAAGCAUUACUAAUUAUAAUGGGAACCCCAGAGGCAUAAGAUAUAGAGCUUAGUCUGCUGGGCAAAUUGUACAUGAAAAGAUAAACCCACGGAAGCCCAUGCUAAUUUGUGUCAAAUUAAUAAUGUGUCUUGCCAAAUUAAAUAAGUAUUGCAGAAUAUAGAAGGGUAUUUGGGUCAUUGGGGUCUGAGGGUAGUCAGUGAACUUCCCUUUCUUGGAUUAUACUUUCAUACAACCUUGUUUCAACAGAAACAAGGAGGAACAGGUUCCAAGCAGUAGAAGUCUGGGUAAAGUUGUAGAGUUAGGAAUUUGCCUGGAAUGCUUAGAAUGUGCCUGGAAUGUUAGCACAUACUAAGAGACAAACCUGGUAUGAGAGAGGAUAGAUGAUGUACUGUGGCACUAAGAGAUGAGGAUGAAGUGUCAGGCUAAAGUGUUUGUAUUAUGUAGCUCCUGACUGUCUUUAAGCUGUGAGUCACAAGUGCAAAAGAACCAGCUGUACCAGAUAAUCAGAGGGGUGAGCACUGUGAUGAUCUGGGUUGGGGAAAUAUGUUUCAAAAUGCCUUAUAAAAUAAGAAUUUAUGAUACAUAUUUUGAUUGGUGAAACUCAGAAUAUAUAAACUAUUAAUAAAAUUUUGUAUUUUCUGAAUGUGUUAUUGGAUUACUCAAGGGGCAAAGGGAGCAUAGGAAUAACACAUCAGCAAAAGUAGUUACCCUCAACAAUAUCUUGUGAAAUAGUAUGAUAUUUUUAAGAAAGGUAUCAAAUUAGUUACAAAUGGAAGAAUCAGAGCUAUGUCAUUUUUAAAACCUAAUAUAUUUGUUUUCAAUUGCAUAUAGGAAGGGGAUAUAGUUUCAGUGCUUGGGCCCUCUAAAAAAUGUAUCUAAUCAUAUGUAGAUGUAAUCUGUAUGAACAGGCACCCAGCCUACAGUGUGCUGGAUGACUAAGAAAAUCAAUUGACUUCCUGAAGAAAGGAAGAUAUUGUUGGCUGUCAAACAUUAUGCUGCACUCCCUGGGAAUCUUGUUAAACUGGAGAUUCUGAGUUUAGUUGCUCUGGAGUAGAGCCAGAGAUUCUACAUUUCUCAAAAGCUCUUAGGUGAUAUUCAUGAUGUAUAUCCUUGGACCACAUGUUGAGUAAUACAAUGAAAUUUUCAACAAGUUAGUCUCUUAAUGUAUUGUACAUUAAAAAAAAUCUUAUACCGUGUUGUUAUGUAUUGGGUUAUACUCAAAGUACUGUUCUAAGAUUCUAUCCAAUACUUUUAAAUAGUGAGGGAUUUAACGUCCUCUUACAUAUUUUUUUUUAUUGUACUUUAGGUUCUGGGGUACAUUUGCAGAUCAUGCAGGAUUGUUG
This is a long non-coding RNA of Sapajus apella (tufted capuchin), 2821 nucleotides long. RefSeq lists it as uncharacterized. Lineage: Eukaryota; Metazoa; Chordata; Mammalia; Primates; Cebidae. The transcript is spliced from 3 exons. The record is from RefSeq and is a predicted model, not a curated record.